Molecule: non-coding RNA, 29 nt
Filed under: Rattus norvegicus (Norway rat)
Lineage: Eukaryota; Metazoa; Chordata; Mammalia; Rodentia; Muridae
Source: RNAcentral
UACAAAUUCGUAGGGUGUGGGUACAAGCU